UAAGACUGGGAUAACUCCGGGAAACCGGAGCUAAUACCGGAUAACAUUUUCUCUUGCAUAAGAGAAAAUUGAAAGAUGGUUUCGGCUAUCACUUACAGAUGGGCCCGCGGUGCAUUAGCUAGUUGGUGAGGUAACGGCUCACCAAGGCAACGAUGCAUAGCCGACCUGAGAGGGUGAUCGGCCACACUGGGACUGAGACACGGCCCAGACUCCUACGGGAGGCAGCAGUAGGGAAUCUUCCGCAAUGGACGAAAGUCUGACGGAGCAACGCCGCGUGAGUGAUGAAGGCUUUCGGGUCGUAAAACUCUGUUGUUAGGGAAGAACAAGUACAAGAGUAACUGCUUGUACCUUGACGGUACCUAACCAGAAAGCCACGGCUAACUACGUGCCAGCAGCCGCGGUAAUACGUAGGUGGCAAGCGUUAUCCGGAAUUAUUGGGCGUAAAGCGCGCGCAGGCGGUUUCUUAAGUCUGAUGUGAAAGCCCACGGCUCAACCGUGGAGGGUCAUUGGAAACUGGGGAACUUGAGUGCAGAAGAGAAAAGCGGAAUUCCACGUGUAGCGGUGAAAUGCGUAGAGAUGUGGAGGAACACCAGUGGCGAAGGCGGCUUUUUGGUCUGUAA
This 620-nucleotide ribosomal RNA is filed under the name Bacillus sp. (in: firmicutes). Its description in RNAcentral is "bacterial SSU rRNA". It matches the Rfam family "Bacterial small subunit ribosomal RNA", at positions 133 to 739 of the family's 1533-position model. The record is from RNAcentral. Lineage: Bacteria; Bacillati; Bacillota; Bacilli; Caryophanales; Bacillaceae.